UACAAACCUACCUUCCUUGCCAUGUAAAGAUGACAUUUCCUCAAUAUAUUGUGCACAGAAGUUUACUGAAGUAAUUAAGAGGGAAACUCCUGAGCAAUCUGAGUACGAACAUCUGCCUUCCUCAUCUUGGCAAGUUUUGCUCUUGUCCCAGUGCCUGGGACAGUCAGAGGGAAGAAACAUCAAAAUUCUGUGUGUCCUCUACACCAGGAGUCCAUUGGAUGGAUAUACCAUGGCUUGUUUUAUCCGCGCCACUGUUGGAGGACAUUGGGUUGUUUCCAGCUUCUGACCACCACAAAUCAAGCUGUUCUGAACAUUUGUCUCUGGGAUUUAGUGGGAACAUAAACUUUCAUUUCUCUAGGGCAAGUGACCAGAAGUAGGAUUGCUGGGGAAUAUGUUAAGUAAAUGUAUGACUUCAUAAAAAACUGCCAUUUUCCAGAGUAUCUCCGUAGUUUUGCUCCUACCAGCAGUGUGUGUGAGUUCCAUUGGCUCCAAAUCCUCUCCAACACUUGGUACUCUAGGUUGAUGGUUUCCAUCUAAGAAUGCUAGAAUGACUUUAUUA
Long non-coding RNA from Lutra lutra (Eurasian river otter), 559 nucleotides. RefSeq lists it as uncharacterized. The transcript has 3 exons. NCBI's taxonomy places the organism in Eukaryota, Metazoa, Chordata, Mammalia, Carnivora, Mustelidae. The record is from RefSeq and is a predicted model, not a curated record.